UACGAAGGGGGCUAGCGUUGCUCGGAAUGACUGGGCGUAAAGGGCGCGUAGGCGGCUUACAUAGUUAGGCGUGAAAUUCCUGGGCUCAACCUGGGGACUGCGUCUAAUACAUGUAGGCUUGAGUGUGAAAGAGGGUCGUUGAAUUUCCAGUGUAGGGGUGAAAUUCGUAAAUAUUGGAAAGAACACCGGUGGCGAAGGCGGCGACCUGGUCCUUGACUGACGCUGGGGCGCGAAAGCGUGGGGAGCAAACAGG
This 253-nucleotide ribosomal RNA is filed under the name uncultured bacterium. Its description in RNAcentral is "partial 16S ribosomal RNA". It matches the Rfam family "Bacterial small subunit ribosomal RNA", at positions 524 to 776 of the family's 1533-position model. The record is from RNAcentral.